AACCUCAAAAAACCACAACAGUCUGUUUCGUCCGUAUAGGAAUCAUCAGGCGGUCACUUGAUCAUUCCUAUACGGAUGAAACAGACUGUUGUGGUUUUU
RNAcentral lists this microRNA precursor (99 nucleotides) under Paramuricea clavata. Lineage: Eukaryota; Metazoa; Cnidaria; Anthozoa; Malacalcyonacea; Plexauridae. The record is from RNAcentral.